ACGUGUUUGAGGUCGUUGGCUGCAUAAAGACACCUGUCCACCCCAUACAAUCAGUAAGAAUCCAACUACUAACAUGGCCAAGACCAAAGAGCUGUCCAAAGACACUAGAGACAAAAUUAAAGUCAAAUAGAACUUUUUGGUCAUAAUUCCACUCGCCGUGUUUGGAGGAAGAAGAAUGAUGAGUACCAUCCCAAGAACACCAUCCCUACUGUGAAGCAUGGGGGUGGUAGCAUCAUGCUUUGGGGGUGUUUUUCUGCACAUGGGACAGGGCAACUGCACUGUAUUAAGGAGAGGAUGACCGGGGCCAUGUAUUGCGAGAUUUUGGGGAACAACCUCCUUCCCUCAGUUAGAGCAUUGAAGAUGGGUCGAGGCUGGGUCUUCCAACAUGACAAUGACCCGAAGCACACAGCCAGGAUAACCAAGGAGUGGCUCUGUAAGAAGCAUAUCAAGGUUCUGGCGUGGCCUAGCCAGUCUCCAGACCUAAACCCAAUAGAGAAUCUUUGGAGGGAGCUCAAACUCCGUGUUUCUCACCGACAGCCCAGAAACCCGACUGAUCUGGAGAAGAUCUGUGUGGAGGAGUGGGCCAAAAUCCCUCCUGCAGUGUGUGCAAACCUGGUGAAAAACUACAGGAAACGUUUGACCUCUGUAAUUGCAAACAAAGGCUACUGUACCAAAUAUUAACAUUGAUUUUCUCAGGUGUUCAAAUACUUAUUUGAAGCUUUAUCAUACAAAUAAAUAGUUAAAAAAAAUCACA
Molecule: long non-coding RNA, 754 nt
Organism: Rhinichthys klamathensis goyatoka
Lineage: Eukaryota; Metazoa; Chordata; Actinopteri; Cypriniformes; Leuciscidae
Exons: 2
Source: RefSeq, a predicted model, not a curated record